CAAUUUGAGAGCAAUAUCAUAAUAAAUAUAACAAAUACUUCUUUAAAUAAAUUAAAUAAAUAAUUGUAAAGGUAAAAAAGAACAUAGAAACUGUGUAAACCAUAAAAUUUUCAAAUUUUUUCGAUGAAAAAUAAGAGAUGAAGCUUUAUAAAUUUCUUUAUAUCAAUUAGACUUAAUUAUAAACACUACUGGCCUGAGACUGCAGACUGCCAGCAGCAAAAGAUUUUUAUAAACUGUAUUAGUGUAUGAUAAACUGUUACUGCUCUUGAUGCUUUGGGUUAAUUUCUUAUGGGCUAAUAUAUAUUUGAAUAAGUAUAUUAUUUUUAUUAUUUGUUUCUGUUAAAAUAUUGUGUUAAUUUUCUGUAUGCAAAAAUUUCACAAGUUAUUUUGAUUCAUGUUUCUCUGUGGCAAGGAGGUUUGUGUACUUCAAUGAUUUUUCUGGGUUAUUGGUAGUUCAAAUUUUUCCAUGUGUCCUGAAGUUGAAAAACAGUGUCUAGAAUUAUCUGAAGUCUUUGAAAGGACAGUUCCUUUACCAAACUUUACUACUGAUUAUUUGGAUGACUACCAGCAUGAUGAAUUUUCCAUCUUAAUUUUCAAAAUAUAAAGAAUAAUCAACUAGGUUGUUUAACACGAUACAGCUUUUAAUUAGGAUAAUGAACAGAAUAUGUAAAUUGGAUGUGUGAAAUGUGAAUAGAAGAGUUAAAGAAAAUGAAAGAGACUUCAUGAAUGAGAUAUCUAAGUAUAGACUGGAUGUGCUGUAUUGUUGAGACAGCCAAUAAAGAUGUGCAUUUGAAUGUGUAGGUGAUAGUGAAUCUGAAUGAUAAAGGUGUUGUUGAAUGAAAAAAUGAAUGUCAGAAUACAAAUAUUUGAAUUACAAAGUGUAGAUGAGAAUUAAGCUUCCUGCAAAGAAUAUUUUAUGGUUUAUGUAUGGUUCUAUUGCAAAAGCACAAAUGUUUGAAACUAAUAAUAAAUUUAGUCAAAUAAAUAAUAAAUUAAUAAAUUUCAUGGUCAUGAAUUUGCAAAAUUUCCAGCCUUUAGCCUGGCUAGGCUUUCAAAUUAUUAGAAAUAAUAACUAUUCCAACACUAAAUAAUACACCUAACAAUCAGAAAUUCACAAUUGUUAAAAGAAAUCAUGAACACAUGUUAGAAAAAAAAAAUGCUUAAGAG
Molecule: long non-coding RNA, 1167 nt
Filed under: Androctonus crassicauda
Lineage: Eukaryota; Metazoa; Arthropoda; Arachnida; Scorpiones; Buthidae
Source: RNAcentral